CCUACGGGAGGCAGCAGUGAGGAAUAUUGGUCAAUGGGCGCGAGCCUGAACCAGCCAAGUAGCGUGAAGGAUGACUGCCCUAUGGGUUGUAAACUUCUUUUAUAAAGGAAUAAAGUGCGGCAUGUGUCCUUUUUUGUAUGUACCUUAUGAAUAAGGAUCGGCUAACUCCGUGCCAGCAGCCGCGGUAAUACGGAGGAUCCGAGCGUUAUCCGGAUUUAUUGGGUUUAAAGGGAGCGUAGGUGGGUUGUUAAGUCAGUUGUGAAAGUUUGCGGCUCAACCGUAAAAUUGCAGUUGAUACUGGCAGUCUUGAGUACAGGAGAGGUAGGCGGAAUUCGUGGUGUAGCGGUGAAAUGCUUAGAUAUCACGAAGAACUCCGAUUGCGAAGGCAGCAUACUGGACUGCAACUGACGCUGAUGCUCGAAAGUGUGGGUAUCAAACAGGAUUAGAUACCCCAGUAGUC
This 460-nucleotide ribosomal RNA is filed under the name uncultured bacterium. RNAcentral describes it as "partial 16S ribosomal RNA". It matches the Rfam family "Bacterial small subunit ribosomal RNA", at positions 338 to 795 of the family's 1533-position model. The record is from RNAcentral.